CCUACGGGAGGCAGCAGUGAGGAAUAUUGGUCAAUGGCCGCAGGGCUGAACCAGCCAAGUCGCGUGAGGGAUGACGGUCCUAUGGAUUGUAAACCUCUUUUGUCAGGGAGCAAAGUGCGCCACGUGUGCUGUUUUGUGUGUACCUUAAGAAUAAGCAUCGGCUAACUCCGUGCCAGCAGCCGCGGUAAUACGGAGGAUGCGAGCGUUAUCCGGAUUUAUUGGGUUAAAGGGGUGCGCAGGGGGAAUUUCAAGUCAGCGGGAAAAUUUCUGGGCUCAACCCUGUAGUGCCGUUGAAACUGGCGGUCUUGAGUGUGUGAGAGGUAGGCGGAAUGCGUGGUGUAGCGGUGAAAUGCAUAGAUAUCACGCAGAACUCCGAUUGCGAAGGUAGCAUACCGGGGCACAACUGACGCUGAUGCACGAAAGCGUGGGUAUCAAACAGGAUUAGAUACCCGUGUAGUC
RNAcentral lists this ribosomal RNA (459 nucleotides) under uncultured bacterium. RNAcentral describes it as "partial 16S ribosomal RNA". It matches the Rfam family "Bacterial small subunit ribosomal RNA", at positions 338 to 795 of the family's 1533-position model. The record is from RNAcentral.